UACGGAGGGUGCAAGCGUUGUCCGGAAUCACUGGGCGUAAAGGGCGCGUAGGCGGCUCAUGAAGGCUGUGGUGAAAGUCCGGGGCUCAACCUCGGAUCGGCCGUGGCGACUCGUGGGCUGGAGCACUGUAGAGGCGGGUGGAAUUCCGGGUGUAGCGGUGGAAUGCGUAGAGAUCCGGAAGAACACCAAAGGCGAAGGCACCAUCCUGGGGAGUCACUGACGCUCGGGUGCGAAAGCUAGGGGAGCGAACGGG
This 253-nucleotide ribosomal RNA is filed under the name uncultured bacterium. RNAcentral's name for it is "partial 16S ribosomal RNA". It matches the Rfam family "Bacterial small subunit ribosomal RNA", at positions 524 to 776 of the family's 1533-position model. The record is from RNAcentral.